UUACGUAGGGAGCCAUGUUGAGCACAGCGUGACAAAGUAUUCGUUCAACAAAAGCCGGAGAAAUUAUUUUCAUUUCUUGGAGAGCAAUUUAUCAGCAUCUCUGAAAUCUGGAUGUGUUAUAUAAUCUCUUCCGUGUCACGGAGUAAUUAAUUGGUAGCUCCCUGAGGACACAAAAUAAUGAACAAAAAUACACACUACAGUAAUGCGCCAUUGACACCAGGAACCCUUAAUCAACGUUCCAACAAGCCUGCACCUCCAGAAGAGGGAGGAAUAGCCACAGAAGCUAUGGAAGUCGGAUAUCGGCCCCGCAGGUCACCUGGCAUCACAUGGACGGCGGGAUGGCCCUUGGAAAGUGCACACAUCUCUCUCAGAUCUGAGGCUCCCUGGCCUACCCCAUGAUGUGAGUCACUGGGACCAUUCCUCAGCCAGAGUUAAUGAUUCCAUCCCAGGUAAGUGUCCCUUUUCUGUCCCUUCCUCCCAGCCCAAAAUCUCUAGUACCCCACACAACUAAAGUCACAUCAGCCGAGGGGCCUCCGAUCGUAAACAAACAAACAAAUAAAUAUUUGUAACUUCUUUUUCUUUUCUCAGUCAUCCAUAUGAGAAUGCCCUAGACACAGGACUGGACCAAGAAGUCUCCACUCACCUCCUCUGCAGGCCUGGAUUAUAAAGAUCUUUGGUUUCUCUUGAAGUGCCGGACAAUUUUUAUUAUUAAACAUUUCAAAAAUGUC
Long non-coding RNA from Leopardus geoffroyi (Geoffroy's cat), 728 nucleotides. RefSeq lists it as uncharacterized. The record is from RefSeq and is a predicted model, not a curated record. Lineage: Eukaryota; Metazoa; Chordata; Mammalia; Carnivora; Felidae. The transcript is spliced from 3 exons.